GCCGCCGUGACGUCACGCCCCCCGCGGGUCUGGGGGGCGGGGCUGAGGGCGGGGCCCGGCGGCCCUGAGGGAGCUCGGCCGGCCCGGCCCGCACCAUGCCGGGGCUCGUCGUGUUCGGCCGCCGCUGGGCCAUCGGCAGCGACGACUUCGUGCUCCCGGGCGCCUUCGAGCUGUUCGUGCGCCUGGUGUGGUGGGUUGGGAUCCUCGUCCUUUACGCGGUGCACAAGGGGGAGUUUAACUGUCCCGGGGGAAGGUUGCUGCACAGCUACUUGAUCGUCCUCAUCCUCCUCCUGGCUUCCAUAAUAUGUGUGUUAUCUGCUCUUGUGUACAUCAGUAUGCAAGGAACAAUCUCUAAUCCAGGCCCAAGAAAAUCACUUCCCAAAGUCCUUUAUACUCGCCUGCUUCUCUAUUUCCCUGAAUUCAUCUGGGCUGUGCUGGGAGCUGUGUGGGUGUCAGACAGCAGUGUGCACUGUGAGAAGACUGUGAUAAAUGCCAUCAUUUGGACAGUUAUUGCCAGCUGGGUUAUCAUCAUCUUUACCAUCAUUGGAGUGCUCAUUGUCUUUGACCCGCUCGGGGGGAAGAAGACGCUUUACCUGACGGACGGCAUGAGCCGGAACCUGGAGAGCAGCCAGUCGGGGCAGCUGCUGUACAACGUGAAGAGCUCUGCCACCAGGGUGUGGGAGAAGAGGAUCAGGCUGCUGUGCUGCUGCAUCGUGCAGGAUGACGACCACCGGGUGGCCUUCACCAGCAUCGCCGAGCUCUUCCGCACCUACUUCUCGGACACUGAUCUGGUGCCAAGUGACAUAGCAGCUGGUUUGAUUCUGCUCCACCAGGAGCAAGAUAAAAUGGAGAGUUGCCCAAAAGAGCCCGAAGAAGUCCUGUGUCAUUCUCCAUCAUCUCUCGUGACUGAUGAUCUGGAUGUGGAGCUGGAGAAUGCUGCUCACUACAUGCUGUUUGCUGCAGCUGCCUAUGGAUGGCCCUACUACGUGUACACCAACCCAUUUACUGCACUCUGUAAGCUCAAAGGUGACUGCUGCGGAAAUAGACCAACAGAUUCUGAUAUAACGGGCAGUGAUCGGCAUAACUUUCACUUUGGAUCCAUCCUAAAUAUAACAGGACUGCAGUACAGAGACUUCAUUCAUAUCAGUUUUCAUAACAAGAUCUAUGAGAUUCCAUUUUUUGUUGCUUUGGAUCACAAAAAAGAAGCUAUUGUGGUUGCGGUGAGAGGAACCUUGUCCUUUGAGGACAUCCUCACGGAUCUCUCAGCAGACUGUGAAGACCUGACCCUGGAGGAUGUUCUGGAGAAUGGCUUUGUGCAUAAGGGAAUAACUCAAGCUGCAACUUACAUCUAUCGAAAACUAAUAAAUGACGGAAUUUUAAACCAGGCUUUCACAAUUGCUCCAGAAUAUAAACUUGUGAUAGUUGGUCACAGUUUGGGUGGUGGGACAGCGGCUAUCUUGGCCAUCAUGCUCAGGAACUCCUUCCCCACGCUGAAGUGUUACGCCUUCUCUCCUCCAGGAGGGCUCUUAAGCAAAUCACUCGCAGAUUACACCAAGCACUUCAUUAUUUCAGUCAUUGUUGGAAAAGACCUCGUUGCAAGGUUAAGUAUGCCCAACAUGGAGGAUUUGAAGAGGAGGAUCGUGAGAAUUGUGGCAAACUGCAACAGACCCAAGUACCAGAUUUUGCUGAGGGGGUGCUGGUACGAGGUAUUUGGAGGAGAUCCCGAUGACUUCCCCACGGAGCUGGAUGGGAGGAACCAGGAAGCCCUGAGCCAGCCCCUUCUGGCCGAGGAGAGUUUAAUGGUUCAUCGCUCACCCUCAUACAACGCCCUGGAGGAUGAAUCACACCAGAAUUCACCACCUCAGUAUCCUCAUCUGUACCUUCCUGGAAAGAUUAUCCACAUUGUAGAGGAAUCCAGCUCUCGGAGGUUGUGUUCUUCAGACAUUAAAUACACGGCGAGAUGGUCAAACGAAACGGUCUUCAGCAGCAUUUUAAUCAGUCCCAAGAUGAUCACAGACCACAUGCCAGACGUUGUGCUCAAAGCUCUGAACAGUUUGUCUCAGGAACAUGGAGGGUGUCUGUCCUGUCAGCCCCGAGAGUACACCCCCGGUGCAGUGUAACACAGCUCGGGCAGGAGCUGGGGGGCUUUCUUUGCAGGUUUCAGCUGUUCAGGACACAUUCCACUUUCAUGCCUAAGUGGAUUUCAGUACUUUUCUCACACUGCAUAAAAUGAACAAGAGUCUUACGGCCCUUGCCUCUGCAGCGACCUCGAGGAAUGUUGUGCUUGGCUGAAGCACCAGGUCUGUCUGUGCUGGGGUUGGGCUCUCCCCAGCGGAUCAGUCCCGGCCCAGC
This is an RNA transcript of Empidonax traillii (willow flycatcher), 2352 nucleotides long. It is a transcript of the gene named diacylglycerol lipase beta, with no coding region annotated. The transcript is spliced from 16 exons. NCBI's taxonomy places the organism in Eukaryota, Metazoa, Chordata, Aves, Passeriformes, Tyrannidae. The record is from RefSeq and is a predicted model, not a curated record.